UACGUAGGUGGCAAGCGUUGUCCGGAUUUACUGGGCGUAAAGGGCGUGCAGGCGGUUUGUUAAGUUCAGGGUGAAAGCUCCCGGCUCAACUGGGAGAGGUCCUUGGAUACUGGCAGACUUGAGGAGGGUAGAGGAGAGUGGAAUUCCCGGUGUAGUGGUGAUAUGCGUAGAUAUCGGGAGGAACACCAGUGGCGAAGGCGGCUCUCUGGGCCGAUACUGACGCUGAGGAGCGAAAGCGUGGGGAGCAAACAGG
This 253-nucleotide ribosomal RNA is filed under the name uncultured bacterium. RNAcentral describes it as "partial 16S ribosomal RNA". It matches the Rfam family "Bacterial small subunit ribosomal RNA", at positions 524 to 776 of the family's 1533-position model. The record is from RNAcentral.